Belonocnema kinseyi is the source of this 3425-nucleotide RNA transcript. It is a transcript of the gene named CCR4-NOT transcription complex subunit 4, with no coding region annotated. The transcript is spliced from 13 exons. The record is from RefSeq and is a predicted model, not a curated record. NCBI's taxonomy places the organism in Eukaryota, Metazoa, Arthropoda, Insecta, Hymenoptera, Cynipidae.
GUGCGCAUGCGAUUCUGAUUAGUCGAACACAAAAUUACAGUAUAUUGAGAUUCUUAGUGAAAAGGAAGAAUUAGCAAGUAAACAUAGUUCAAACUUUCAAUCAGAAAAUUUCAAGACUUAAAAAAGGUAUAUUUUCAAUUUACGUUUAUUACAGCGUAAGUCAAUUUUGACACGUGAACGGUGAUAGUGCAAAGAAGUUUACCGACGUAACGACGAUAUGAGCCAUGGAAUAUAACAGAAGACCCAGCUUCCAUAGAAUUUUGGUGCCGAUUGUGUUUACGUUUGUGUGUGUGUGAAUUAUAGAAUUAAAUUUUAAUUGGAUUAAAAAGUUAAACGAUACGAGCGGCUGGACUCCUGUUAGGUCCAUCUUGACGGCAACUUCAGCAAAGAUAGAAUUGAAAGCCGAGCACUCUCCAGUACUAAUUGUGAUCACGACUUGAAUAAAGGUUGAAGAAAAUACCGUAAAGCAAUGUCAGUUCUAAAUCAAGGAGGUGAAGACGCAGUAGAGUGCCCACUAUGCAUGGAACCAUUAGAGGUCGAUGAUUUGAACUUUUUUCCAUGUACUUGUGGUUAUCAGAUUUGCCGUUUUUGUUGGCAUAGAAUUCGGACUGAUGAAAAUGGUUUGUGUCCCGCUUGCCGCAAGGCCUACUCAGAGAACCCUGCUGAUUUUAAACCCCUAAGUAAAGAAGAGAUUGCAAGGCUAAAAGUUGAAAAAAGAAUAAAAGACCAGCAACGAAAGCAGCGAGUCACCGAAAACCGGAAACAUUUAGCUAAUGUGCGAGUUGUACAAAAGAAUCUGGUUUUCGUAGUUGGUUUACCAAUGCGGCUUGCGGAUCCCGAUGUGUUAAAAAGGCAUGAAUAUUUUGGAAAAUUCGGUAAAAUUCACAAAGUUGUAAUAAAUCAGAGUACUUCAUAUGCUGGAUCGCAGGGUCCUAGCGCUUCGGCUUACGUUACUUAUCAGCGCCAGGAAGAUGCAUUGCGUGCUAUAGAGGCUGUAAAUAAUAUUGUUGUGGAUGGAAGGACAAUAAAAACGUCACUUGGUACGACAAAAUACUGCUCACAUUUUAUGCGAAAUCAAACUUGUCCGAAGCCAGAUUGUAUGUAUUUGCAUGAUCUGGGUGAUCAGGAGGCCUCAUUUACGAAGGAGGAGAUGCAUCAAGGAAAACAUCAAGAAUACGAAAGAAAACUAGUGCAAUCGUUACUCGCUAACACAUCUUCACAAAGAAAACCUACUCCAUCUCCAACUGUAUCUGGCAAUGCUGUUCGAGAUAGUGGGACCUCAAAUUCGCAAACCAAAGAAGCUUGGCCUUCGCUGCAGUCUGGUCUGACAAACAGUGCGCAGCCCAAUUAUAAGGAGCCUUCUACCCCGAUUCAGAUUCCUAUUCAACAAACUAAUGUAAUUGAUGAGAAUAGUACGAAUGUAGUACAAAAUCUUUCACUGCCGACAGUGCCAGCAAAAAAACAUAGUAAUAACAAUAAAGGGGAAAAUGGAGUUGGUCUUCGGCGAGGGAAAAAUAAUAGUGAAAGUAAAGUACAAGCAGCUCGAAACAAACAUAAAAACUGUCAAAAUAAAGAAAAAAGUAAUGCACGAGUUAUGGUGCAGCCUGAGUUAACUUACAGUAACACGCAAAUCGUGCAAGAUAUAGCACAGCCUCACGCUAAUGGACAGAACGAAUUCGAGACUUAUUCAGCCGAUUCGAUUAUGGAAACUGAACAAAAAACUGCAAUUAAAAUAGAAGUAGAUUAUUCACAGCCGCACAGUGCACAGGGUUCAGAAUUUGAGAUAAUGCAAAAAAUGAAUGAUCUUAAGAUAAAUGGGAUGGUACAAAUUGGGGAUUUCAGCUACUCGGACCGAGACGAAAAGUCACAACCAGAAAGGAGUACACCGGUCAGCACAAUAUCUAAUUCAGACGAUUCAAAUGCAAAUGAAGAAGUUGACCAUCUAGUGAAGUCAAAGGAAACAAAUGAUAGCUCGGCUCUCUUGGGUUCUUCUCCAAAGAGCUUAAAUUCUUCACAGAAUGCAGAUCACCAGUCUUCUACAGGUCCAUAUAUCGUAGACAAUGCUAAUAUUUCACAGUCUCAACUGAAUCGUCGAUCCAUUUUUCCAGCGGAUAAUAACAGUUUCUUUAGCUCAAAUAACUUUCAAAAAGUUUCAAACUCUAUAUCAACACCAUCUAUGACACAUACAGCAAAUUCAACUGUUGACUGGAUGAAUUCAGGAAAUGUGUCAAUACCAGACUCGUUACCAACAGUAUAUUCGAGCGAAGAUUGGCAAGCGGCUUUUGGAUUUCAAAAUGAAUCGUCACAAGCAGCUCGCUCUAUGGCUAAGUCUAAUAGGGUCAACAUGCCAAGAGUACCAUUCCACUCAGAAGAUUUUUUAGUCGAAGAUACAUAUACUAAUUCACAAUAUCCAUGUUCAAACUCUACGACUUUUGUAUCGAAUUUGCUCGUGAAUUCCCCAGCUUCCAAAUUUAUGGCUGACUUCCAGCAGAAUUCAUUGCAACAAAGACUCGUCAUGCAGGCCCAACAAAAUUAUGAAAAUAGUGAGUAUUUAAAACAAAAUGGGUACACUGCUCUAAACAAAGUGCAGACUCCUCACGUCAUAGGACCUGCUUCAAAGGCUGAUGAUGACUUAGGCUUUGAUCCAUUUCACGAGACACAAAAAGCAUUAGCUGAACUGAUGGAAAAUGAAAUUCAAAUACAACAGCAAAGACUUCUCCAACAACAGCAAGAACAGAAGCAGCAACAACAAUUAAAGGAAAGGGAGGAUAAUAGAGUGCAAGUACAAUGUUCCUUAGGCCCUCAACACUUUUCCCAGGUGGCUCACUUAGCACAACUUCAGCACCAGGCUCAACAUCUACAGAACUUGCAAGCUCUUCAGAAUUCACACUCCUUACUAUCCCGAUUACCACAAGAUUUUAUUCAACAAAAUACAGCUCAAGGAACAAUAACAGUAACUAACUUGGGACAGCGAAGUCGCUUACCGCCUCCAGGCUUUCCAAGCUCCUCAACCAACCACAUGAAUUCAUUUGGUCUUGGAAUACCACGUCCAGCAUCUUCUGGUAAUACCCUCUCUGAGAAGCAGGUCGAAGGACGGAUCGAUUUUCCUGAAUUUCAUCUCAGCUUGGAUCGAUUUCGAAAAAUUCGACCUUGAACACACGCUGGGUCGGAUCAGAUUUAAAGAUUUGAACAUGCAUCGAAUUUCAUCGAUUCGACAAAUUACUUUACUUUAAGUCCCUUUAGGAGAGGAAAAACUUCCGCUUCACGUAAUCUAUAAAUGAUUCACUACAAAUAAGCAGUAUGAAAUAUAGAAUUGUUGAUGUCCACUGGUAGUAAAAUGUUACCAUUCGCAAGUCAUUCAUCGGGUGUGAUAUUAACAGGACAAACAUCUCAUCAGUCAACCUAUCUUCCAAAUCAGAAUUCAC